UUCCGGUUGAUCCUGCCGGACCCGACUGCUAUCGGAUUGAGAUUUAGCCAUGCGAGUCGAACGCUUCCCUGUUGCGGGAGGCGUGGCGUACGGCUCAGUAACACGUAGUCAACCUGCCCUGAAGACACGCAUAACCCCGGGAAACUGGGAUUAAUUCGUGAUAGGCCAUCUCAUCUGGAAGGAGAGAUGACUUAAAGGGGUGCGAGGGCUUCUUUCUUGUAUCCGCUUCAGGAUGGGACUGCGGCCGAUCAGGCUGUUGGUGGGGUAAUGGCCCACCAAACCUGUAACCGGUACGGGCCUUGAGAGAGGGGGCCCGGAGAUGGACACUGAGAGAAGGGUCCAGGUCCUACGGGGCGCAGCAGGCGCGAAACCUUCACAAUGCGCGAAAGCGUGAUGAGGUUAAUCCGAGUGGUCCCCGCUGAGGGGAUCUUUUGUCGGCUGUAAAAAGGCCGGUGAAUAAGGGGAGGGCAAGUCUGGUGUCAGCCGCCGCGGUAAUACCAGCUCCUCGAGUGGUCGGGGCGAUUAUUGGGCCUAAAGCAUCCGUAGCCUGUUCUGCAGGUCCACUGUUAAAUCCAACGGCUUAACCGUUGGCCCGCAGUGGGUACCACAGGACUAGGAGGCGGGAGAGGUGGACGGUACUCCACGUGUAGGGGUAAAAUCCUUUGAUCCGUGGAAGACCACCAGUGGCGAAAGCGGUCCACCAGAACGCGCUCGACGGUGAGGGAUGAAAGCUGGGGGAGCGAACCGGAUUAGAUACCCGGGUAGUCCCAGCCGUAAACGAUGCGAGCUAGAUGAUCCGGUCGCAAAUCGCGAUCGGAGUGUCGCAGGAAGCCGUU
This 836-nucleotide ribosomal RNA is filed under the name uncultured archaeon. RNAcentral's name for it is "bacterial SSU rRNA". It matches the Rfam family "Archaeal small subunit ribosomal RNA", at positions 1 to 816 of the family's 1478-position model. The record is from RNAcentral.